GACCUCAGAUCAGACAAGGCUACCCGCUGAAUUUAAGCAUAUUAUAAA
RNAcentral lists this ribosomal RNA (48 nucleotides) under Pseudocirrhipathes mapia. RNAcentral describes it as "partial 28S ribosomal RNA". The record is from RNAcentral. Lineage: Eukaryota; Metazoa; Cnidaria; Anthozoa; Antipatharia; Antipathidae.